RNAcentral lists this long non-coding RNA (422 nucleotides) under Trifolium pratense (red clover). Its description in RNAcentral is "long non-coding RNA (TPRA_LNC014026)". Lineage: Eukaryota; Viridiplantae; Streptophyta; Magnoliopsida; Fabales; Fabaceae. The record is from RNAcentral.
GAUUUUGGUGAUAGCAGGAAGAGAUUCGAAACGACUUGCAAUUUGUGAUAAAGUUCCGGAAAAUUUCGUCAAGGUAUUGUUAUUUAUCAUGCUGCUUUGGUGUUAAAUUGAAUGUUUAAGAACUUAUUUUUUUUUUAAAAAAUUUAUACUGUGUUUAGUUGAAUAUUUUGUGUGUUAUGCGCAUAGAAUCAGAUGAAUUUGCUGUUGAUUUUGAAUGUUACUUGAUUGAUAUAUGACACUGAUAGUGACAGUGCGUUACGCACCGCAGAAUCACACUGUUUUGGUGUUAAUUUGAAGGCUUAUGAACUUGAUUUCGCUCUAGGUUUUCUUUUGAUAAUUUUUAUAUUGUGUUCAGUUGAAUCUUUUGUGCAUUAUGCGCAAAGGAUCAUAGGACUUUGGUGUUGAUUUUGAUAUGUAAGACU